CAAGACUUGACAUCCCGCUGACCGUUCUAGAGAUAGAGCUUCCCUUCGGGGCAGCGGUGACAGGUGGUGCAUGGUUGUCGUCAGCUCGUGUCGUGAGAUGUUGGGUUAAGUCCCGCAACGAGCGCAACCCCUAUGUUGUGUUGCUACCAUUUAGUUGAGCACUUACAACAGACUGCCGGUGACAAACCGGAGGAAGGCGGGGAUGACGUCAAAUCAUCAUGCCCCUUAUGUCUUGGGCUACACACGUGCUACAAUGGACGGUACAAAGGGUUGCGAAGCCGCGAGGUGGAGCCAAUCCCAUAAAGCCGUUCGUAGUUCGGAUUGCAGGCUGCAACUCGCCUGCGUGAAGCCGGAAUUGCUAGUAAUCGCGGAUCAACAUGCCGCGGUGAAUUCGUUCCCGGGCCUUGUACACACCGCCCGUCACACCAUGGGAGUUGGUAACACCCGAAGUCGGUGAGGUAACUGCUUGCAGAGCCAGCCGCCUAAAGUGGGAUCGAUAACUGGGGUG
RNAcentral lists this ribosomal RNA (508 nucleotides) under uncultured bacterium. Its description in RNAcentral is "bacterial SSU rRNA". It matches the Rfam family "Bacterial small subunit ribosomal RNA", at positions 975 to 1482 of the family's 1533-position model. The record is from RNAcentral.